This 731-nucleotide long non-coding RNA is filed under the name Homo sapiens (human). Its description in RNAcentral is "HSALNT0135086". The record is from RNAcentral. Lineage: Eukaryota; Metazoa; Chordata; Mammalia; Primates; Hominidae.
UAGACAGAGGAUGAAAUGCAGUAGUUCACCAACAUGUUAUGUUUCUAUGAACAACCAGAUGCAAACGUCCUGGCAUUCAUCCUGCCUGCUUGCUGUUUGUACCAUCUCCGUGGUAGCAACCAUCCAAGCUGCUGGAAGCACAGACUGAGCUCUAUGAGUCAAUUAUUUUAUAUACCUGGGAACGUGCUAGCCUUCCUGUCACUCUUUGAUGUCACUAUGUAGACAGUUUGCAGCCUAGGCAACAUGGGAAAAAGUGAAACACUUCACUCAGGGCGCAGAACAAUGGAAGUCCCUGGAAGGAAAGGCUUGCAAGAGAAAACCAAGUGGCUUCUGAGAUAUUCGAAAGUCCAGUUGUUUUCCCUUUUUAAAAAUUUUCAGAUGCUCUUUGAUGCCAUUUCAUAAAGCCUGUGAUUGGGCCAAAAGUCUUAGUUCACCAUGUACCACAAAUAGUGUACUCUAUAUAGCAUAUGCUUAACUAAGAAAAAAUAAAGAUUUAGAAAUAGAUCCCUAAAGCACUGGAAAUGGUUGGCCCUGAAGUGCUCCUAAGGUAACCGCAAGAUGAGGCAAAACAGGAUUGAGAUGAAAACCAAGCUCACCCACAUCCUACGUCAAUUAGCUAUUUUUUUUUCUGUGUAAACAAUGGGAGGGAGGUGGAUUGUAGCUUUUAUGGUAGAGGUUCCUCGGCACCUCCUGACGCCCCCAGGGGUCCCCCCUGCCACUGCCCUCAGCCC